UCCCUCACCAUGCCAUACAACUCACAACUGACGCUAAAGCCUUGUUCGUUUUCGAUCUUCGCCGUUGUUCAUCUCCAUUUUUGUCCUCGUUGAUUGUCCACUUAGUUAUCGUUCUUCAAUGUGGUUACUGGUUUUCGUUUGAUCGUCGAUCAACGCUAUCCCUCAUCGUAAUGACGCAUCAUACUGCAGAUCGUCUCUCGAUGCACAACAUCAUGUCUUUGUACGUCUCCAUCUCUCUCUCUCACACUCUCCUUCAAUUAAGUUUCAUUGUGUCAUAUGGGAAUCCUCAUAGUAGAAUUAGGGUUUUAGUGUGCAUUAGUGCACUUGGAUUCAUGCAGGGUUCGAAUCUCCGUUGUUGUUUAGGUCAAACAUGGUUGCCAACAAAGAGGUUGCGAGACAUCUCAUGCAUCAAGUGGGUUAUGUUACCACAAAAGGGAGAAACAUACUUGUGAGGAGCUCAAUUCUAGAGAAUCCAAGUUUGUUCGACCAUACACGCCGCCUGCGCAUGCAUUUUUACUAGUCUCGACACAACCGCUUGCUUGUACACUAGGCCAAG
Molecule: non-coding RNA, 556 nt
Organism: Cucurbita pepo subsp. pepo (vegetable marrow)
Lineage: Eukaryota; Viridiplantae; Streptophyta; Magnoliopsida; Cucurbitales; Cucurbitaceae
Source: RefSeq, a predicted model, not a curated record